Molecule: small RNA, 26 nt
Filed under: Bombyx mori (domestic silkworm)
Lineage: Eukaryota; Metazoa; Arthropoda; Insecta; Lepidoptera; Bombycidae
Description: ovarian small RNA-27935
Source: RNAcentral
UCCUGGAAUGGGAGCGAGCGUCGGAA